CAGGUGCUGCAUGGCUGUCGUCAGCUCGUGUUGUGAAAUGUUGGGUUAAGUCCCGCAACGAGCGCAACCCUUAUCCUUGUUUGCCAGCGAGUAAUGUCGGGAACUCCAGGGAGACUGCCGGUGAUAAACCGGAGGAAGGUGGGGACGACGUCAAGUCAUCAUGGCCCUUACGAGUAGGGCUACACACGUGCUACAAUGGCGCAUACAGAGGGCGGCCAACUUGCGAAAGUGAGCGAAUCCCAAAAAGUGCGUCGUAGUCCGGAUUGGAGUCUGCAACUCGACUCCAUGAAGUCGGAAUCGCUAGUAAUCGUGGAUCAGAAUGCCACGGUGAAUACGUUCCCGGGCCUUGUACACACCGCCCGUCACACCAUGGGAGUGGGCUGCAAAAGAA
RNAcentral lists this ribosomal RNA (391 nucleotides) under Vibrio vulnificus. RNAcentral describes it as "bacterial SSU rRNA". It matches the Rfam family "Bacterial small subunit ribosomal RNA", at positions 1035 to 1425 of the family's 1533-position model. The record is from RNAcentral. Lineage: Bacteria; Pseudomonadati; Pseudomonadota; Gammaproteobacteria; Vibrionales; Vibrionaceae.